AGUGAACGCUGGCGGCAGGCCUAAUACAUGCAAGUCGAACGGACGCACAGUAAGAGCUUGUUUCUGAGGGUGGCGAGGGACGGACGGGUGAGGAAUAGAUAGGCAUCCAAUUAUACGGGGGGGACAACGGGGGGAAAGAGAUGCUAAUAGAGAAUACGACGUACGGGAGAAAGCAGGGGAGAAAGGGAGCUUGGGAGACAGAAAGAGAUGAAGCCGCGUUGCAUUAGCUAGUUGGUAAGGGAACGGCUUACCAAGGCGACGAUGCAUAGCCGACCUGAGGGGGUGAUCGGCCACACUGGAACUGAGACACGGUCCAGACUCCUACGGGAGGCAGCAGUAGGGAAUCUUCCGCAAUGGGCGCAAGCCUGACCGAGCCACGCCGCGUGAGUGAUGAAGGCCUUCGGAUCGUAAAACUCUUUUAUUAGGAAAGAACAUCUGUGUAUGUAACUCUCGCUAUCUUGACGGUACCUAAUCAGUAAGCCACGGCUAACUACGUG
This 497-nucleotide ribosomal RNA is filed under the name uncultured bacterium. RNAcentral's name for it is "partial 16S ribosomal RNA". It matches the Rfam family "Bacterial small subunit ribosomal RNA", at positions 29 to 507 of the family's 1533-position model. The record is from RNAcentral.